AUUGCCUUAGUAGCGGCGAGUGAAGCGGCAAAAGCUCAAAUUUGAAAUCUGGCACUUUCAGUGUCCGAGUUGUAAUUUGAAGAAGGUAUCUUUGGGUCUGGCUCUUGUCUAUGUUUCUUGGAACAGAACGUCACAGAGGGUGAGAAUCCCGUGCGAUGAGAUGUCCCAGACCUAUGUAAAGUUCCUUCGAAGAGUCGAGUUGUUUGGGAAUGCAGCUCUAAGUGGGUGGUAAAUUCCAUCUAAAGCUAAAUAUUGGCGAGAGACCGAUAGCGAACAAGUACAGUGAUGGAAAGAUGAAAAGAACUUUGAAAAGAGAGUGAAAAAGUACGUGAAAUUGUUGAAAGGGAAGGGCUUGAGAUCAGACUUGGUAUUUUGUAUGUUACUCUCUCGGGGGUGGCCUCUACAGUUUACCGGGCCAGCAUCAGUUUGAGCGGUAGGAUAAGUGCAAAGAAAUGUGGCACUGCUUCGGUAGUGUGUUAUAGUCUUUGUCGAUACUGCCAGCUUAGACUGAGGACUGCGGCUUCGGCCUAGGAUGUUGGCAUAAUGAUCUUAAGUCGCCCGU
RNAcentral lists this ribosomal RNA (562 nucleotides) under Lodderomyces parapsilosis. RNAcentral's name for it is "Candida parapsilosis partial large subunit ribosomal RNA". It matches the Rfam family "Eukaryotic large subunit ribosomal RNA", at positions 74 to 652 of the family's 3401-position model. The record is from RNAcentral. Lineage: Eukaryota; Fungi; Ascomycota; Pichiomycetes; Serinales; Debaryomycetaceae.